This 467-nucleotide ribosomal RNA is filed under the name uncultured bacterium. RNAcentral's name for it is "partial 16S ribosomal RNA". It matches the Rfam family "Bacterial small subunit ribosomal RNA", at positions 28 to 507 of the family's 1533-position model. The record is from RNAcentral.
GAUGAACGCUGGCGGCGCGCCUAACACAUGCAAGUCGAACGAUUAAAGCACCUUCGGGUGUGUAUAAAGUGGCGAACGGCUGAGUAACACGUGGGCAACCUGCCCCUUUCAUUGGGAUAGCCACGGGAAACCGUGGAUAAUACCGAAUACUUCGAGACUUCCGCAUGGAAGACUCGAGAAAGCUCCGGCGGAGAGGGAUGGGCCCGCGGCCUGUUAGCUUGUUGGUGGGGUAACGGCCUACCAAGGCAAUGAUGGGUAGCUGGGUUGAGAGACCGACCAGCCAGAUUGGGACUGAGACACGGCCCAGACUCCUACGGGAGGCAGCAGUGGGGAAUCUUGCACAAUGGGCGAAAGCCUGAUGCAGCGACGCCGCGUGCGGGAUGAAGGCCUUCGGGUCGUAAACCGCUUUCAGCAGGGACGAGGCGAAAGUGACGGUACCUGCAGAAGAAGCCCCGGCUAACUACGUG